CCAGAUUAUCAAAACGCGUAUAAGCUAGAAGAACCCUUUGGAGGCUGAUCGAUUUCUUGCGAUCCUCUCAUCGGCGCCGACGCUCUCGUAUCGAUUUCCUGUUAAUCGAUCUCGAUUCAUCUUGCCGGUAAGGCCUUCCGAUACCUGUGAAUUUCUCGCGGGUUCCCACAAAAAUCGAGGUUCUAGGGUUUCUGUUAUUCGCCGAUUUGGCAUCUGAUUGAUGUUCUUUGAUCUGUGCGUCUGUGUUCAUUUGUAAUUGAAGUUUUUGUGAAUUGUAUUCUCUGUCUGUCUGUGUUGAUUGAAUUGGGGUCUGAAGGGAAAAAAGGCUGAAUUUUUUUUUUUGGGGGAUUGAGGAUUGGUUAGGGUUUGAAUAAAAAUUGAAUUUGAUAAAGUUGAAAGUGAUUUUGACUCUUUGGGAAUUCAGGGAUUUGAAAUUUUCUAGGGGUUAUUGUGUUUUGAUUUCAAUUGUUGAGUUUGACCACUGAUUAAGAAGAGCUGUGCUUGUUAAUCAUAUGGCGACAGGGCGAGUCGAUGUUUUGAGGAGGAGGGAUUCUUAUAAUUACUUGAAAAGGGAAUUUGAGUAUUAUAGGAAUGGGGUUUCUCGUGGUGAUGUAGGUCAUGGUCGCAGUGAUGAACUCAAACAUAGGAAUGGAUUCCAUCAAUCUUCCAAUGUGCGCGAUUCACGGGGAUAUGGACGGCUUCCAAAUGCCCCAGAGCCAUUGGUUAAGAAUGGCAAAACCCGAAGGAGUGAAGAUGCGGCUCAAUUACCUGCUGAGAAGAAGAUUGAAUUUAGUGAUGAUGUCAAACAUAAGAAUGGACUCCAUCGUUCUUCCAAAAUGUGUGAUUCACAAGGAUCUGGAUGGCUUCCAAAUGCCCCAGAACUAGUGGUUAAGAAUUGCAAAACCCGAAGGAGUGAAGAUGCUUAUCAAUCACCUCCUGAGAAGAAGAGGAAGUUUUCUCCUAUUAUAUGGGACAAAGAAGAGAAGGAAGUGAGAGUCUCAUCGAAGAAUAGAGUUGUUCCUGUUAUUCCUCUGCCCUCCCCUCAUCCAGAUGUAGCAAGAUUACCUGCUAUUGCUAAGGUUGAGGAUGUUGUUUCUGUUGGAGUUCCUUCCAAGUCUCUGGCUAGAGUGGUGGAGUCUCUGGAAGUGGAGGUUUCCGAAAUUUCUGAUGUUUCUCAAUUUGAGGCACCAGCCGAUCUCUCUGCACUACUACAUCCUCAGAAGGUUGGGGAAGAUGAGCAGGUGCAAAAGAACAAGGAAGACAAAGAAUUUUUCUAUCAACGUGACAUCUCAUUGUCAAAAUGGUCAUCCGAUAGUGAUUCCCCAAGGGAUAUCUCUGAUGACAGCUCGCCUGAAAGUGGGGAGAUUCGGAUAGAAAGCUCUAGGUUGAGUCGGGCUAGAACUUCUGGCUCUGACAAAGAAGACAGCUUUGAAAAGCCUGGCAGUGGAGAUACACUUUAUGGAGACGAGUUAUGUGAUGGUGCGCAUAUGGAUGCUGAUAAUUAUGGUGGGAAUGCUGACGAUAGCCAGUUCUACUCUGAUUCUGAAGAUGAUUCUGAUCUUUCUCAGAUUGAAGAGCCAGAAGUGCCUACACAAAAAUGUAUAAACAUGCUUCAAGGUUGCAGAAGUGUGUUGAGUAUGAAAGGCUCAACCAUAUAAGUGAAGGCACUUAUGGUGUUGUCUUUAGAGCCAGAGAUAAAAAGACCGGAGAAAUUGUCGCAUUGAAGAAGAUGAAGAUGGAUGUGGAUAAGGGAUGUGAUGGUUUCCCUAUGUCGGCAUUGAGAGAAAUAAACAUUCUCUUGUCCUUUAAUCACCCUUCUGUUGUUGGUGUUAAGGAAGUUGUUAUGGAUGACUUUGAUGGUGUUUAUAUGGUAUGGAGCAUAUGGACCAUGACUUGAAGGGGCUAAUGGAGUCAAUGAAGCAGCCAUUUAGUAUUGGUGAAGUUAAGUACUUGAUGAAACAACUUUUGGAGGGUGUAGAGUAUCUUCAUGACAAUUGGAUCCUUCACAGAGAUCUGAAAACAUCAAAUAUUCUGUUGAAUAACGAGGGUGAGUUGAAAAUAUGCGACUUUGGGUUGUCACGACAAUAUGGGAGUCCACUAAAGCCAUAUACUUCUUUAGUUGUCACUUUGUGGUACCGGGCACCUGAAAUUCUAUUAGGUGCAAAACAGUACUCUACAGCAAUUGAUAUGUGGUCAGUAGGUUGCAUAAUGGCUGAAUUGUUGGCGAAGGCACCUCUCUUUAGCGGGAAAGAUGAAAUUGAGCAGCUGGACAAGAUCUUCAAAACUCUUGGUACACCAGAUGAGAAAAGUGGUUUGUCCAAAUUGCCGGGCUUCAAAGCUAAUUUUGUUAAGCAACCGUACAAUCUUCUGCGCAAGAAAUUUCCUGCCGCAUCUUUCACUGGUUCAUGCCCAGUGCUCUCUGAAUCUGGGUUUGAUUUGCUGAAGAGGCUCUUAUGUUAUAACCCUGCGGAGCGAAUAACAGCGACGGAUGCCCUCAACCAUACCUGGUUUCACGAGUCCCCUGAACCAAGAAGGGAUUUCAAGCCAAUUACUCCUGAUCGACAUGUUCACGACCGGCACCUUAACAGCAGGCGGCGUGAGAAAAUUUUACAGCAAUAAUCUUAGCCUGUUCUUUUUGCAGUUCUUUAUAUUUUGCUAACCUGAUGGCAGCUAGAAAGUACAACAAAGACCUCUACUGUAGGGUCCUUUAGGAUAGCUGGAGCAAAGGAGUUGCAAGGUGUGUCAGUCGGCACUAAUGGUUUAUCCUGUUAAGAGCAGCUUAAUAGCGGUGCACAGUCUUCCUAUAUGAAGGUGUGGCAAAAUGUUGAGAAGAAAAGAGAACUUUUUGUUUUUUUUCCCACAUUCUUGAACCUGUGUAUAUAUGUUCACAUUGGAAUGAUAUUAUUUUUAUCAAUGUCGUCUUCAUUAUUUGUA
Non-coding RNA from Malus domestica (apple), 2934 nucleotides. Lineage: Eukaryota; Viridiplantae; Streptophyta; Magnoliopsida; Rosales; Rosaceae. The record is from RefSeq and is a predicted model, not a curated record.